GACGAACGCUGGCGGCGUGCCUAACACAUGCAAGUCGAACGGAGUAAAGACUUCGGUUUUUACUUAGUGGCGAACGGGUGAGUAACGCGUGGGAAACCUGCCUUUCAGAUGGGGACAACACCUCGAAAGGGGUGCUAAUACCGAAUGACGUUUCCUGGUCGCAUGACCUGGAAACCAAAGGCCGGGCAACCGGUCACUGAAGGAUGGGCCUGCGUCUGAUUAGCUAGUUGGUGGGGUAACGGCCCACCAAGGCGACGAUCAGUAGCCGGUCUGAGAGGAUGAACGGCCACAUUGGGACUGAGACACGGCCCAAACUCCUACGGGAGGCAGCAGUGGGAAUCUUCCGC
RNAcentral lists this ribosomal RNA (347 nucleotides) under uncultured bacterium. RNAcentral describes it as "bacterial SSU rRNA". It matches the Rfam family "Bacterial small subunit ribosomal RNA", at positions 28 to 369 of the family's 1533-position model. The record is from RNAcentral.